GGACCCGCACAAGCGGUGGAUGAUGUGGAUUAAUUCGAUGCAACGCGAAAAACCUUACCUACCCUUGACAUGUCCAGAAGCCCGAAGAGAUUUGGGUGUGCCCGAAAGGGAGCUGGAACACAGGUGCUGCAUGGCUGUCGUCAGCUCGUGUCGUGAGAUGUUGGGUUAAGUCCCGCAACGAGCGCAACCCUUGUCGUUAAUUGCCAUCAUUUAGUUGGGCACUUUAACGAGACUGCCGGUGACAAACCGGAGGAAGGUGGGGAUGACGUCAAGUCCUCAUGGCCCUUAUGGGUAGGGCUUCACACGUCAUACAAUGGUCGGUACAGAGGGUUGCCAAGCCGCGAGGUGGAGCCAAUCCCAGAAAGCCGAUCGUAGUCCGGAUUGCAGGCUGCAACUCGCCUGCAUGAAGUCGGAAUCGCUAGUAAUCGCGGAUCAGCAUGUCGCGGUGAAUACGUUCCCGGGUCUU
RNAcentral lists this ribosomal RNA (466 nucleotides) under uncultured bacterium. RNAcentral describes it as "bacterial SSU rRNA". It matches the Rfam family "Bacterial small subunit ribosomal RNA", at positions 917 to 1382 of the family's 1533-position model. The record is from RNAcentral.